CCUCCUCCCAAACUACCCUAAUCUCUGUCGGCUCAUCCGCAAAAACUGUAGCCUGCAACCACCGCGUCUUCCAGCAGAUAUUAGAGUUUUAUAUAUAUAAAAUUUUCAUGACGAAAAGUGACAGUUACAAUUGGUGUAAUAACUUGAUUUGUUAAAGGGGGAGAAAAUUAUUCUCAAAAAAAGGAAAUAAAUCAAGAAAACAAGUCAAAGUUAAAAUGAGGGUGUUAUACAGUACCCUACUUUGCACCUCCUUCUUUCUCUGUCUUCAUCACCAUCCAUCAGUCGUCGUCGUCGUCGUCGUGCCUGAGCAGCUUCCUCUCAGAGUUUCCUUCUUUUGCUCUGAGUUGUCUUCAUCAUUUUCCUUUACCUCAAAACGAUCGCGUCAGAGCCAUUUGACUCGCCUGCCCUAAGCCUUUCCCCAAAAAAAGAGUAGAGAGAAACGAAGUAGACCCAAACGACAACGGUUCGGAAAGGCUUUUUGAAGGGGCUCUUCUGGGUUGGUUGGGUCGAAGA
Molecule: long non-coding RNA, 513 nt
Filed under: Carica papaya (papaya)
Lineage: Eukaryota; Viridiplantae; Streptophyta; Magnoliopsida; Brassicales; Caricaceae
Description: long non-coding RNA (CPAP_LNC010119)
Source: RNAcentral